AGCGUGGGCUCAGACGGCGUCAUGUUCCGAACCUGGUCAGGUCUUGACGGAAGCAGCCAUAAGGGGCCGCUGACGAGCGUCUGAGCCCACCUGCAA
RNAcentral lists this signal recognition particle RNA (96 nucleotides) under Coriobacteriales bacterium. Its description in RNAcentral is "signal recognition particle sRNA small type". It matches the Rfam family "Bacterial small signal recognition particle RNA". Rfam says of the family: The signal recognition particle (SRP) is a universally conserved ribonucleoprotein involved in the co-translational targeting of proteins to membranes. Lineage: Bacteria; Bacillati; Actinomycetota; Coriobacteriia; Coriobacteriales. The record is from RNAcentral.